GAUGAACGCUGGCGGCGUGCUUAACACAUGCAAGUCGAACGAAGCACUUUAUUUGAUUUCCUUCUGGACUGAUUAUUUUGUGACUGAGUGGCGGACGGGUGAGUAACGCGUGGGUAACCUGCCUUGUACAGGGGGAUAACAGUUGGACACGUCUGCUAAUACCGCAUAAGCGCACAGCAUCGCAUGAUGCAGUGUGAACAACUCCGGUGGUAUAAGAUGGACCCGCGUUGGAUUAGCUAGUUGGUGAGGUAACGGCCCACCAAGGGGACAAUCCAUAGCCGAGCAGUGAGGGAGGGCCGACACACUGGGGGGAGGCAACAGUACAAACUCCUACGGGAGGGAGGAAAGGGGGAUGGUGCAACAUCGGGGGAAUGAUGAAGGACUUAGGACCGGAGAACGAAGAAAUUAUUCAGUAUGUAAAGCUCUAGCAGCAGGGAAGAUAAUGACGGUACCUGACUAGAAAGCACCGGCUAAAUACGUG
This 481-nucleotide ribosomal RNA is filed under the name uncultured bacterium. Its description in RNAcentral is "partial 16S ribosomal RNA". It matches the Rfam family "Bacterial small subunit ribosomal RNA", at positions 28 to 507 of the family's 1533-position model. The record is from RNAcentral.